Mytilus californianus (California mussel) is the source of this 268-nucleotide long non-coding RNA. RefSeq lists it as uncharacterized. Lineage: Eukaryota; Metazoa; Mollusca; Bivalvia; Mytilida; Mytilidae. The record is from RefSeq and is a predicted model, not a curated record. The transcript has 3 exons.
UUUAGGAUCAAGAACUUUUUAAGUUUAUUUUACACAUAAUCAGAGUAGUAGUUGAAGACAAUAUAAAGAGUAUUCCUCCAUUCCAUAAGAUAUGGAAUCUUGACAUUGAAGGAUUAGAACUUAAACCAUCAGUGUCUUCUAAUAAAGAUACCGACAAAGACAUCUUUUACAUAAAGCCAUCUAGUAUAAUUGAAAUGCAGCUUUCAAAGAAAAACACAGCAAUACAGUUACAAAGAUUUCCCAGACAAAGCAACUUUUUUGAAGGGCA